Molecule: ribosomal RNA, 424 nt
Filed under: uncultured bacterium
Lineage: Bacteria
Description: bacterial SSU rRNA
Rfam family: Bacterial small subunit ribosomal RNA
Source: RNAcentral
UGAGGAAUAUUGGUCAAUGGGCGCAGGCCUGAACCAGCCAAGUCGCGUGAGGGAAGACGGUCCUACGGAUUGUAAACCUCUUUUGUCGGGGAGUAACGUGCGGGACGCGUCCCGUAUUGAGAGUACCCGAAGAAAAAGCAUCGGCUAACUCCGUGCCAGCAGCCGCGGUAAUACGGAGGAUGCGAGCGUUAUCCGGAUUUAUUGGGUUUAAAGGGUGCGCAGGCGGCGCGCCAAGUCAGCGGUCAAAGUUCCGGGCUCAACCCGGUGUCGCCGUUGAAACUGGCGUGCUCGAGUGCGUGCGAGGAAGGCGGAAUGCGUUGUGUAGCGGUGAAAUGCAUAGAUAUGACGCAGAACUCCGAUUGCGAAGGCAGCUUUCCAGCGCGCUACUGACGCUGAGGCACGAAAGCGUGGGGAUCGAACAGGA